AAACAGGUAAGCUAAAUUAAGCUUUUGGGUUCAUACCCCAACUAUGAAGGCAUUAUCCUUCCCUUUUUA
RNAcentral lists this transfer RNA (69 nucleotides) under Lema sp. LEM01. RNAcentral describes it as "tRNA-Met". Lineage: Eukaryota; Metazoa; Arthropoda; Insecta; Coleoptera; Chrysomelidae. The record is from RNAcentral.